RNAcentral lists this transfer RNA (17 nucleotides) under Paraboea crassifolia. RNAcentral's name for it is "partial tRNA-Phe". Lineage: Eukaryota; Viridiplantae; Streptophyta; Magnoliopsida; Lamiales; Gesneriaceae. The record is from RNAcentral.
UGGUCGGGAUACUCACU